RNAcentral lists this transfer RNA (67 nucleotides) under Schizothorax waltoni. Its description in RNAcentral is "tRNA-Phe". It matches the Rfam family "tRNA". Rfam says of the family: Transfer RNA (tRNA) molecules are approximately 80 nucleotides in length. Their secondary structure includes four short double-helical elements and three loops (D, anti-codon, and T loops). The record is from RNAcentral. Lineage: Eukaryota; Metazoa; Chordata; Actinopteri; Cypriniformes; Cyprinidae.
GCUAGCGUAGCUUAAUAUAAAGCAUAGCACUGAAGAUGCUAAGAUGAGACUAGAAACUCCGCGUGCA